Molecule: transfer RNA, 72 nt
Filed under: Candidatus Hodgkinia cicadicola
Lineage: Bacteria; Pseudomonadati; Pseudomonadota; Alphaproteobacteria; Hyphomicrobiales
Description: tRNA-Lys
Rfam family: tRNA
About the family: Transfer RNA (tRNA) molecules are approximately 80 nucleotides in length.
Source: RNAcentral
GAGCGCAUAGCUCAGCGGUAGAGCGACUGACUUUUAAUCAGCAGGCCCAGGGUUCAAUUCCCUGUGCGUUCA